RNAcentral lists this ribosomal RNA (471 nucleotides) under Salmonella enterica. RNAcentral describes it as "bacterial SSU rRNA". It matches the Rfam family "Bacterial small subunit ribosomal RNA", at positions 1 to 468 of the family's 1533-position model. Lineage: Bacteria; Pseudomonadati; Pseudomonadota; Gammaproteobacteria; Enterobacterales; Enterobacteriaceae. The record is from RNAcentral.
AAAUUGAAGAGUUUGAUCAUGGCUCAGAUUGAACGCUGGCGGCAGGCCUAACACAUGCAAGUCGAACGGUAACAGGAAGCAGCUUGCUGCUUCGCUGACGAGUGGCGGACGGGUGAGUAAUGUCUGGGAAACUGCCUGAUGGAGGGGGAUAACUACUGGAAACGGUGGCUAAUACUGCAUAACGUCGCAAGACCAAAGAGGGGGACCUUCGGGCCUCUUGCCAUCAGAUGUGCCCAGAUGGGAUUAGCUUGUUGGUGAGGUAACGGCUCACCAAGGCGACGAUCCCUAGCUGGUCUGAGAGGAUGACCAGCCACACUGGAACUGAGACACGGUCCAGACUCCUACGGGAGGCAGCAGUGGGGAAUAUUGCACAAUGGGCGCAAGCCUGAUGCAGCCAUGCCGCGUGUAUGAAGAAGGCCUUCGGGUUGUAAAGUACUUUCAGCGGGGAGGAAGGUGUUGUGGUUAAUAACC